Molecule: unclassified non-coding RNA, 298 nt
Filed under: Hevea brasiliensis (rubber tree)
Lineage: Eukaryota; Viridiplantae; Streptophyta; Magnoliopsida; Malpighiales; Euphorbiaceae
Source: RNAcentral
CAGAAGAAUUUUGAAAAAAAAAAAUACAGGAACAUUAUUGUGGGACACUAGGUAGUUUUGGCAUUAUCUUCCAACCUCAAAAAUGUGACUCAAUGAAACCAUAUGCAAUCUUCAGAAAUAUAAAAAUGAAAACUUCUGAAAGUCCUGAAACUUAUCACUUUUCAUCGAAAUAAGAAGAAUUUUAGGGGGAAAAAAUACAGCAACUAGAUUCCAUUUGUAUCUGGGGAAGGAUGAAGCAAAUGCCAUUCCAAUUUUGUCCAAGAGGAAUAGUAAGUGUAAGAAUAUUGAUUUCAAUGCA